UACGUAGGGGCAAGCGUUGUCCGGAAUUAUUGGGCGUAAAGAGCGUGUAGGCGGUCCGGUAAGUCGGCUGUGAAAGUCCAGGGCUCAACCCCUGGGAUGCCGGUCGAUACUGCCGGACUAGAGUUCGGAAGAGGCGAGUGGAAUUCCCGGUGUAGCGGUGAAAUGCGCAGAUAUCGGGAGGAACACCUAUGGCGAAGGCAGCUCGCUGGGACGUUACU
This 218-nucleotide ribosomal RNA is filed under the name uncultured bacterium. RNAcentral describes it as "partial 16S ribosomal RNA". It matches the Rfam family "Bacterial small subunit ribosomal RNA", at positions 524 to 741 of the family's 1533-position model. The record is from RNAcentral.